Molecule: long non-coding RNA, 9732 nt
Organism: Vespa mandarinia (Asian giant hornet)
Lineage: Eukaryota; Metazoa; Arthropoda; Insecta; Hymenoptera; Vespidae
Source: RefSeq, a predicted model, not a curated record
UAUAUAUAUAUACCUUUUAUUUAUAUAUUAUAUUUUAUAUAUAUAUAUAUCUAAUAAUUCAUUGUUAUAUUUUAUUCUUAUCAAUAAUCUUCAUAUGAAGAUUUAACAAAUUACAUAAGAAGUGAAAUAUCAAAACGAAAGAAGAUAUUCUCUUUGGUGUGAUUGAUUACAAGGAACAUCGUAAUCACAGUUAAGAUAGUUGAAUUAUCGGUACUUUUAUUUGACCGGUAUAUUCUCUCUGACCAAUGACAAAAAGUAGAUCGAGCAUAAUCAAAAAAAUAAUCGUUACGAAAAUACGAAGAUUAAAAGAUCUCUCUAAAGGAUCUAAAGGAUUCCAACAACUUUCGGACACACCAGGAUGAAAGAAGAGUAAACCAAAUAAAGAAAAAAAAAGGAAAAAAAAAAAAACAAAAAUUUUUAGGAACAAAGAACACACAUGUCAACAAGAUUAAAAGAUAAAGAUAGUCAUUAUGAAGAUACUCUUGUUGAGAAUAGUAACAACGAAGAUAAAGAAUACAACCAAUAAUGAGAUUAGACAAUGACGAAAUGUCGAGGGAUAAAAAAAAAUAAUGAUUGGGAUCAAAUGAAAGUGAGUAAACGAUAAAUAAAUAUGACGUUUGUUAUCAUUUUUAUUCGCAGAAAUGUGCGAAUAACGUAAAAACGUAGGAUUAAUAUAUUAAAGGCACCAAUGAAAUAUUACCGACGUUCAAAUCGGAUUUAUUCGGAUCUCGAGGUUGAGAGAUAAAUUGAAGAAAAAUAAAGAAUAAUUUCGAUUAAUCGAAAAAAAUAAAAAAAAUAGAUCAUUUAUGAUUCUGUAUACGCCACACGGUUAAACGAUUUUGAAUCGUUAGAGAAGAUUUUGAAGCAUUAUUAAUUAGCGAAUUGGAGAGAAGUCUGGCAAAACGAUGAUGUGAUUGCCCGUCUUUCUCCAUGGUAACGAUUAGUUGCACGAGAAUACAAUAGGAAGAUAGGAUAGAACGCGGCAGAGAGUAUUUACUACGGUAAACUAGCCAAAGGCACAAAAGCAACCAUGCCGGAUAAGGAAACAGUCGAAUGGAGAUUAGUUUUGGGACUAAGAAACAUACAAUUCCACGAUUAUUUGGGACAUCUUUCAAGAUAUGCAAAACCUAUCUCUACCAGUCAACUGCUAGCAGACUUUAAAAAAAAAGUGCUGAUCAUUAACCACACUAACCGACCAUAUCAUGAUAAAUUGAUGAAAAGCAGGACUGUUAACGACAAUUACGUGAUACAACUGUAAAUAAGAUAAUAAGUGUACAAAAUUAUAAAGUAAUGUUACAUUUUUGAAUGCAAUAAAGCAAAUUGUUAUUUAUUAUUUAUUAAGAUUGGAGAAAGAGAACGUCGAGGAUAAUAACUUUGUAGAAAGAACUACAAUAGCAGAGAUAUAUAGUUCGAACAAGUCAAACUAUAAUCAGAUCAAUUAUGAUCGAUCUAGGAAACUUAUGCGUAAUACUAAAUACAGGAUUAACAACGACGAUGAAAUAGGACUGACGUACAUAUCUAAAGUUUCAUAAAAUUAACAGAGUAUGGAUAUGGAUAUGUAUUAUAACUGUAUUAUAACUGUUGGAACUAUAAUUGGGAGUAAAGGAGAAUUGAAGAUCUAUCCGUAGUUCCGAUGACGUAUCAAGUCAUCCCUUUGAUCCUAUAGGUCAUCAUCCCUUACGGGAGGAUGACAUACAGGACGAUAUUGUAAUCAUAUGUUUAGUAACAAUAGUGAACGACAAGACCAUGUAGAUUGUAGAGACAUGUAUUAAAUAUUACUGUCUCGUAAUGGACAAAGAGAUAGCGCGUCAUUACAUGCGGAAAACCGAUCCAACAAGGAAGACACGAGAAUAGAAGCGAACAUUGGAUCAUAUUCAUUAUACACAAAAAUGUUGUACACCGAACUAUUGAAUAAACUGAGAUGGAUAGAAACACCAAUGGGAUUCGACAAUUGUACAUUAUCAACCGUAUUGAUUAUCCAACAUCAUGAACGACGACAACAGGAAAUAAUGCACAGUAACUAGAUUAUAGAAGGUAACAUCAUUGAAGCGAAUGAUUUUCUGUUUUCCUGUUGUUCGAUGAUACUACUCUUUUCGAGAUAAAAUGACGUGCAAGGUAUGAAUGGGAGAAUGAAGGGGAAAGGGAAUGUAGAUCGUAAAACAGUUAAAUAAUAACAAUGAAAUAAUAAUAUUCUAUAUCGAGAAAAUACAGGAUCGAUCGAACAGACAGAGUAGACAUAUUAAAUAGUAUAUCAUAUCGAGUCCUAAGUAAGCGUUAUAUUAUCAAGUAUUACCGAUAACUGAAGUUUCUAAACUAUAUGAUUGUCGUUUAACAUAUACGGUCGGAUUUUAUCAGUUCGCUGGAAUAUCAUUUCGACUUUCUAAUGCUGCCUGUCGCGUUUCAACGACUAUGUUUAAUGUAGUUUUAGAUAAUCUGCCGGAGAUUAUUGCAAUUGUAUGUAUAUUUGAACGGUAUCAUUGCAACAUCGCAAAAAUAUCGAAGAAGGAAUAGAUAUCCUCUCUUUCUCUUUCUCUCUAUCUGUCUCAUACCGCGUUCCCUUUGUUACAUUAUACUACUCUACAUUGAAUUUCUGAUAAGUAAUGUAUAUACCAAUCGUAACCAUCUAAAUUACAACCGAGUUGCUAUUUAUAAUUAGAUUUCUAAAAUAAUGUUUCCUAAUUGUCCAUUUGCAAUUUGGUAUCUUUAUGUGUUCGAUAUGUUAUUUUCUAUCAUUAGAAAAUUUUUCUAAUUUAUUGACUAUCAAAGUGUUUCCUGUAACACUGAACGUUUAGACAAGUUCUAUUAUUAGAUAAACUCUUUUAAAAAACAAUUUUAAGUCCCGUUACAGAUGAUAUUUACAAAUUACUCUAAAUCAUGGAAUAGUUAUUAUAAUUGCACCUUAAAACAAUUAUGUAUUUAUUCAAAAUUAUUUUUUUUUUCAUAGAGGACAUAGAAAUCUUGGCUAUUUAUCUAACGAAAUAAUAUAAUAUAUAUAUAUAUAUAUAUAUAUAUAUAUAUAUACAUAUAUAUACAUGUAUAUAUAAUUUUAUCUGACUAGUUAGUUCAUAUCAGGAAAAUAUUAUUAUACCUUGUUUAAUUUUGCCAAGUCUAAUCGAUUUUAAUAUGACAUAAAAAUUUUUAUCUAUAUCGAUAAAUUUUUUCAUAACAAUCUUUAGGAGUGUUCAGAUUUCAACAAUACAUACUUAACAAUAUUAUACACGGUACACGAUUUUUCAUUGAUAGAAAAUAUGAAUUAGUUUUGAUUGAAAUAAGAAAUUAGAGACGAAAUAUAAAGGGCUAUACGAAAUCGUGAAGAUACUUGAUAACGAUAGAUAUUUGAUACAGGAUAUUGAAACAGAACAACAGAGUAAUACAUUUUAUAAGAUUAUCGUUGCUUUAAAUAGACUGAAACCUCUAUCAAUAUUCAACGAAUCAUAUGUAUCGUGUUAUGUUAGAUUUCACUUUUCUCAAUAAGCAAACUGUUCUAGAAACUAUACAGAAUCUCUACUUCGUUUUUCUUGUUCUUGUUUUACUUAAUUUUUUAAUGCUGUCGAUACAAUGAAAUUCGCAUCCUUCUUAAAUUUUUUUUUUAUUGCAUCUUAAAUUCGCACAAUACCUACUUAUUCUUUAAAUUAUCCGAUGUCUCAAUUUUCCCUAAAAACAAUACGUUAGUAUUCGCUUCGUAAAAUCUCUCUAUUUUUAACAUUAUAAUGGAAACUGAAAAAUUCACUCUUUACUAUCGAAUAUUUUGUUUUAAUAUUCUAUUAAGCGCUUAAAUUUAAUGAUGUUUCACUAUUUUUUUUUUUUAAACAACGUAAGAUAACGCUUUUUCUUAUAAGCAAUUUGUUCAAAUAAAAAUUCUGAACAUGAAUGAUUUUCAUUUCUCUUGACUUUAAUUGAAGGAAGUACACUUAAUUUUUCAUUGUUGCAUUAAAAAUUAUGCACGAUAUGACAAUCAUACACUAAUGCUUUAUUUCGAAUACUACGUACUUUCACCUUAAGAGAUUAAAUGCGAUUAUUAUUGAAUCUUUGCUUUUUUGAACAGAUAACUAGUUUUGUAUAUCUCAUUGCAUUUAUUUUAAUUUUUGCUAAAUCAUAACUCUGUUCUUUCAAUUAAAGAAAUCUAUAUUAUGUUCGUUAGAAUUCAGUCUGUCAAGAUUGUCAAUAAUUCGCAUAAUAAUGCCACCGAUGUAGAGAUACACAUUUCUUCUGAUUAUUUUCCAUUUCCAGAAUACGUUAGGUUUAUUAAAUAAUUCCCUAUCUUCUGAAAGAUGUGAAGAUAUCUUCCCUAUGUGCCAUCUACUAGAAAUCUUCAUGUCCUAUAAUUUAUCAGAUUCCUACUUUACAGUUUCUCCCUCUGUAAUACUUUCUUCGUUUCAUCAGGAAUUAUACACUUGCAUAGAUAUUUUUAAAGUCCUUCAUGCAAAAAUAAUUGUGUAUUACGUUUGAUAAAAAUUGAAUAUAUUUUUCUUGAAAUAUCUUCUAUUCAUGCACAUUUUCUAGCGCUUAGUUCAAUAUAAUAUGAUAAAUAAUAAAAAUUCUGCACGUAAAUGAUUCUCAAUUGGUUUAAUUUUAAAUGAAAGGUAUGUACUCUUAAUUUUUGCUUUUUUCUUGAAAUGUUUUGCACGAAAUCAUAAAAUACUGCAUUAUUCCAAAUAUUAGGAGAUAUCACCUUAAUAGUUAAAAGCUAUUCUUAUUGAAUCUUUCCUUAUUUGCAAAGACAAAUAUUUUUGUAGGCCCCACAGUAUUUACUGUUCUUUUAAUUAAAGAAAUUUAUAUUAUGUCCGUUAGCAUUCGGUCUGUUAAGAUUGUCCAUAAUUCCCAUAAUAACGCAAUCGAUGUAGGGAUACACAUUUCUUCUGAUUAUUUUCCUUUUCCAGAAUAUAUGAGGUUUAUUAAAUAGUUCUCUAUUCUCUGAAAGAAAUGAGGAUAUCUGCCCUAUGAACCGUCUACUUGAUGUUUACUUGUAUUAUAACUUAUCAGAUUCCUACAACAGAGUUUCUCCCUCUGUAAUACAUUUGUCCUUUCAUCAAGAUUUUUACACGCGGAUAGAUUUUUUUAAAGUUCUUCGUGCAUAAAUAGUCGUGUAUUAGGUUUGAUUCGAAUUUAAUAUAUUUUUCUUGAAAUAUCAAGUAGGCAUGCACAUUUUCUAGCGCUUAGUUCAAUGUAAUAUUACAAUUAAUAAAAAUUCUGCACGUAAAUUUUCUCAAUUGGUUUAAUUUUAAAUGAAUGGUAUGUACACUAAAUUUUUGCUCCUUUCAUGAAAACUUUUACACGAAAUUAUAAAAUGCUGCAUUAUUUCAAAUAUUAGCAGAUAUCACCUUAAUAGUUAAAAGCGAUUCUUAUUGAAUCUUUCCUUAUUUGCAAAGACAAAUAGUUUUGUAGGGCCCUUAGUAUUUAUGUUAACUUUGUUAAAUCAUAACACUGUUAUUUUAGUUAAACAAAUCUAUAUUAUGUCCGUUAGAAUUCGGUCUGUUAAGAUUGGCCAUAAUUCCCUUAAUAAUGCAACCGAUGUAGGGAUACACAUUUCUUUAUUUAUUUUCCUUUUCCAUAAUACCUUAGGUUUAUGAAAUAUUUCCCUAUCUUCUGAAAGAUGUGACGAUAUCUUCCCUAUUUGCCAUCUACUAGAAUUCUUCAUAUCAUAUAAUUUAUUAGAUUCCAACUAUAGAAUUUCUCCCUCUGUAAUACAUUCGUCCUUUCAUGACGAAUUUUACAGGUGUAUAGAUUUUUUUAAAUUUCAUCAUGCAAAGUGAUUGUGUAUUAGGUUUCAUUAGAAUUGAAUCUAUCUUUCUUGAAAUGUCUACUAGUUAUACACAUUUCAUAGCGCUUAGUUCAAUUGGAAAGUAACUUUAAUAAGAAUUCUGCACGUAAAUGAUUCACAAUUGGUUUAAUUUUAAUAGAAUGGUCCGUACACUUAAUUUUUGCUCCUUUCAUGAAAAGUUUUGUACGAAAUCAUAAAAUGCUGCAUUAUUCCAAAUAUUAUGAGAUAUCACCUUAAUAGUUAAAAGCGAUUCUUAUUGAAUCUUUCCUUAUUUGCAAAGACAAAUAGUUUUGUAGGCCCCAUAGUAUUUAUGUUUACUUUGUUAAAUCAUAACACUGUUCUUUUAAUUAAAGAAAUUUAUAUUAUCUCCGUUAGCAUUCGGUCUGUUAAGAUUGUCCAUAAUUCCCAUAAUAACGCAAUCUAUGUAGCGAUACACAUUUCUCCUGAUUAUUUUCCUUUUCCAGAAUAUGUUAGGUUUAUUAAAUAGUUCUCUAUUCUCUGAAAGAAAUGAGGACAUCUUCCCUAUGUGCCAUCUACUAGAAAUCUUCAUGUCCUAUAAUUUAUCAGAUUCCUACUUUACAGUUUCUCCAAGUGUAAUACUUUCUUCGUUUCAUCAGGAAUUAUACACUUGCUUAGAUAUUUUUAAAGUUCUUCAUGCAAAAAUAAUUGUGUAAUACGUUUGAUUAGAAUUGAAUAUAUUUUCCUUGAAAUAUCUACUAGUCAUGCACAUUUCAUAGCGCUUAGUUCAAUAUAAUAGGACUUUUAAUAAAAAUUCUACACGUAAAUGAUUCUCAAUUGGUUUAAUUUUAAAUGAUAGGUAUGUACACUAAAUUUUCUUCUCUCCCUCUGUAAUACUUUCUUCGUUUCAUCAGGAAUUAUACACUUGCAUAGAUAUUUUUAAAGUUCUUCAUGCAAAAAUAAUUGUGUAUUACGUUUGAUUAGAAUUGAAUAUAUUUUCCUUGAAAUAUCUACUAGUCAUGCACAUUUCAUAGCGCUUAGUUCAAUAUAAUAGGACUUUUAAUAAAAAUUCUACACGUAAAUGAUUCUCAAUUGGUUUAAUUUUAAAUGAUAGGUAUGUACACUAAAUUUUCUUCUCUCCCUCUGUAAUACUUUCUUCGUUUCAUCAGGAAUUAUACACUUGCAUAGAUAUUUUUAAAGUUCUUCAUGCAAAAAUAAUUGUGCAUUACGUUUGAUCGGAAUUGAAUAUAUUUUUCUUGAAAUAUCUUCUAGUCAUGCACAUUUCAUAGCGCUUAGUUCAAUAUGAUUUCAGUUACUAAUGAAAACUCUGCACGUAAAUGAUUCUCAGUUGGUUUAGUUUUAAAUGAAAGGUAUGUACAUUUAAUUUUUACUCCUUUUAUGAAAAGUUUUACACGAAAUUAUAAAAUACUGUAUUAUUCCAAAUAUUAGUAGAUAUCACCUUAAGCGAUUCUUAUUGAAUCUUUCCUUAUUUGCAAAGGCAACAGGUUAUGAACGUCCCAUAGCAUUUAUUUUAAUUUUUGUUAAAUCUCAACUCUGUUCUUUCAAUUAAAGAAAUCUAUAUUAUGUCCGUUAGUAUUCGGUCUGUCAAGAUUGUCCAUAAUACCCCUAAAUAAUGCAACUGAUGUAGGGAUACAUAUUUCUUCCGGUUAUUUUCCUUUUCCGUAAUACCUUAGGUUUAUUAAAUAAUUCCCUAUCUUCUGAAAGAUGUGAAGAUAUCUUCCCUAUUUGCCAUCUACUAGAAUUCUUCAUGUCAUAUAAUUUAUCAGGUUCCUACUAUAGAAUUUCUCCCUCUGUAAUACAUUCGUCCUUUCAUGACUUUUUUUUUUUAAAUUUCUUCAUGCAUAAAUAAUUGUUUAUUAGGUUUGAUAAGAAUUGAAUCUAUCUUUCUUGAUAUAUCUACUAGUUAUGCACAUUUCAUAGCGCUUAGUUCAAUUAUAUCAUAUUAAAAUUCUAUAAUUGAAUGAUUUUGAAUUCGCUUAAUUUUAUUUGAAUGAUCUGUACUCUUGAUUUUUCCUUGUUCCAUCAAAAAUUUUGUAGGGUAUGGAAAAUAUCAAUUACUGCCAUAUUUCAAUUACUUGAUGACUCAGCUUUAUAGUUAGGAUGUGAUUCUGAUUGAAUCUUUCAUUUUUUGUAUUGUCAUCUAAUUUUGUAUCUUCUAUAGCAUUUAUUUCAAUUAAUUGCUUUAAAUCAUAACUCGAUUUUUUAAUUAUAUAUAUCUAUAUUUAGUUUCUGAGAAUUCGAUCAGUCAGGAUUGCCCAUAUUAACUAUAGUAUUGCCACCGAUAGAGGGAUACAUAUUUCUUCCGAUAUUUUUUGUUUUCCAUAAUACCUCAAGUAAUUUUUUUUUCUCGUAUUCUCUAAUCGAUGUGGGAAUUUUUUUUUCACUCCAUCUAUUACUGAACGUCGUCAUGUCAUAUAAUUUUUCAGAUUCUUAUUUUAGAGAUAUUUGUAAUAUACUAACGUUCUAAAUUUAAAAUAUUUAUUAUUUAAUAUUAAUAUAAUGAAAAAAAUACUGAUAUACUUCCUUUUACUAAAAAUUUUAUUUUAAACAGUAUGAAAAGUUUCGAUCGUCGUUUUUAAAAAUCAUGAUCUCUUUCAAUCUUUUAAUCGUUACUGCUGUUAUAUCCGUGCAUCCUAUUAUUUUAUUAAAAUCGAAACAAUCGCGGUUGUUAAUACAGUCUCAAGUUUAAUAAGAUAUAGUUACUUCAUUAAUAACUUUGUUUCAUCGUUUGAAAAUUAUUUAAUGCUUUCAUUUAAUCUGUUACGAACUUCGUUAACAUCAGAGAAUAUUUUCCUGAAUUCGUUCGCUCGGACAAUUUUUCUACUUUAUCUAUUUUUCCUACUUUAUCGAGAGUUCAAAUUUAUUUAUAAUUUUGUAAUUUUUUCCGUGACAAUAUUGAUUUAUAUAUCCGUGAAUUUUUUUUUUAGUUAUCCGAGAGUUUUUUGUUCCAGAUAAUUGAAACUCUAAAUUCGUCGAUCGUGUACUCGAUCGCUACACGAUUACAAUACUUAUGAAUUCUCUUGCAUAUUGAUGGGUUAUUGUUAAUUUUUAUGUACGAUGCUAGAUUUUGUAUUCUAUGAAAUUCAACAAAGCUGUGUUUUCGUCUUUCUAUUUUUCGAAACUUUCUAUUUUUCAAUAUUCUGAAUUCUUCGAAAUUAUGAUCGGUAUGUUAGCAAUUUUUUUUUCGACAAAAUUUAUCGUCGUGUUGUUUUAUAGUCAUUUGUAGUAUCAUAUUUUGAGAAUAUAUAUACAUAUAUAUAUAUAUAUAUAUAUAUACAUCGAAUAUUAUUUGUAAUGUAAUAUUAUCAUUAAUGAUUAUUAAAUAUGUUAUUAAUCAUGUAUUUUCGUAGGCCAUCAUGUCUUCUAUCCGUAAGCUUUUUCUAAUCAUGAUUAUCACGAAAAUCUUGCAUGUUCAUUUUUAAUACAAUUUUCAAUUUGUUAUCACAAUUUUUAAUAACUUUACUCUUAGAGAUUUUUAAUUGAUAUAACUUACUUCAUUUUCUAAUUCUGUAUUUGCUAAUCCGGUUAGAAAACUAUUCAAAGCAACGUUUUUUAAACGUUUUAUCCUAACUAUUUCAAUUUACGAUUUAUUAUUUCCUUGGAUUGUUCCUUUCGCUGAAUUAACUAAUUUCUUUAUGCAUUUUUCGCGAAUAUUAACAGAGAUUCGUUGGAGAUUUAUUGGAGAUUCAUUUAGCAAAAGCUUAUUUGGUUUGGUUACAAUCACGUUAUUUUAUUAUUAUUAUUAUUAUUAUUAUUAUUAUUAUUAUUAUUAUUAUUAUUAUCAUCAAAAUCUAUAUCAAUGUGAUCGAUUUAUGUCGAUAUUUAAUCGAAUAAAGCGCCUCAAGAACGGAAUAUCUAUUUGAUCUACAAGGAUCACGAGCUUGUUCGUAUAAAGGAACAAAUAAUAACAUGUACAUUAGAUUCGUCGGAACAUGCAUUUUGUAUUCUGCUGUUUUUUUUUUGAUAUUGUUUAACGAAAAAUAUUUUUUAAU